UACGAAGGGAGCUAGCGUUGUUCGGAAUCACUGGGCGUAAAGCGCACGUAGGCGGAUGUGUCAGUCAGGGGUGAAAUCCCGGAGCUCAACUUCGGAACUGCCUUUGAUACAGCACGUCUUGAGUCCGGAAGAGGUGGGUGGAAUUCCUAGUGUAGAGGUGAAAUUCGUAGAUAUUCGCAAGAACACCAGUGGCGAAGGCGGCUCACUGGCCCGAUACUGACGCUGAGGUGCGAAAGCGUGGGGAGCAAACAGG
RNAcentral lists this ribosomal RNA (253 nucleotides) under uncultured bacterium. RNAcentral's name for it is "partial 16S ribosomal RNA". It matches the Rfam family "Bacterial small subunit ribosomal RNA", at positions 524 to 776 of the family's 1533-position model. The record is from RNAcentral.